Molecule: ribosomal RNA, 468 nt
Filed under: uncultured bacterium
Lineage: Bacteria
Description: partial 16S ribosomal RNA
Rfam family: Bacterial small subunit ribosomal RNA
Source: RNAcentral
GACGAACGCUGGCGGCGUGCUUAACACAUGCAAGUCGAACGGAAAGGCCCUGCUUUUGUGGGGUGCUCGAGUGGCGAACGGGUGAGUAACACGUGAGUAACCUGCCCUUGACUUUGGGAUAACUUCAGGAAACUGGGGCUAAUACCGGAUAGGAGCUCCUGCUGCAUGGUGGGGGUUGGAAAGUUUCGGCGGUUGGGGAUGGACUCGCGGCUUAUCAGCUUGUUGGUGGGGUAGUGGCUUACCAAGGCUUUGACGGGUAGCCGGCCUGGGAGGGUGACCGGCCACAUUGGGACUGAGAUACGGCCCAGACUCCUACGGGAGGAAGCAGUGGGGAAUAUUGCAAAAGGGGCGGAAGCCGGAUGCAGCAACGCCGCGGGCGGGAUGACGGCCUUCGGGUUGUAAACCGCUUUCGCCUGUGACGAAGCGUGAGUGACGGUAAUGGGUAAAGAAGCACCGGCUAACUACGUG